GACGAACGCUGGCGGCGUGCUUAACACAUGCAAGUCGAGCGGUAAGGCCCUUUCGGGGGUACACGAGCGGCGAACGGGUGAGUAACACGCGGGUGACCUGCCCUCAGCUCUGGGAUGAGCCUGGGAAACCGGGUCUAAUACUGGAUAUGACUCCAUGACGCAUGUUGGUGGGGUAGGAAAGCCUUGUGCGGCUGAGGAGUCGGGCCCG
RNAcentral lists this ribosomal RNA (208 nucleotides) under uncultured bacterium. Its description in RNAcentral is "partial 16S ribosomal RNA". It matches the Rfam family "Bacterial small subunit ribosomal RNA", at positions 28 to 233 of the family's 1533-position model. The record is from RNAcentral.